GGGUGAAAUCUCUGGUGGGGAACUUUCCAUACUGGUCUUGAUGGAGGUCGUUUAGUAAUUAGAAAUGGCAGAAUAUUAAUGUAUUUGAGGAGAGGCUGUCCCUCUGCAAUAACACAGCUAGGAAAGUACUUUAGAUCAUUUCUGGGCAACAUUACAGACCAGAGUAAAUUAGGUUGGUCCCCACUGUGACCUUCCAACCGCACUCCCUCCUCCCAUGACCACAGUAUGUUUUUUAAUAGGUCUGCCUAUUAUACCCAGUGGCAUUUUUGUUUCCACUCAUCCUCGCUGUGUGAUUUUAUAUUCUGAGGAUGUUGCAGGACUUAUGGCCGCGUGAGAAUGAGAUUCCCCUCAUGGGAUCUGGGGGAUAUUUCUCUGGUGUGGCAUUCAUUGGGAUCGGAGAAGUCGAAAUGACAGCAACAUUACAUGGUUGAAAUGAAACCCCCGUAAUGUUAUCUAUUUUUAUUCAUACGGAGUGAUGAUUCGCCCCUCAUUGGUCUCUGUGUGUGAACGCACAGUGGCGGCGCAUGGAGGGGUUUUGUUACCAUUCUCUGUGAUAAAUCAGGGACAAGUGGGAAUUAUGGGGUCAUCAGAAAUAUAAAGUGGCAGUGUAUGGGUUGAUGUGUAGCACACGUGUUUCAGCACAAGGCUCACAUGUUUUCAUUUUAUUCUGCUACAGCCACAGCCAGCCGGAUGAAUUCAUACAUCCUAAUCUCUGCUGAAAGUGAGCGGCAGAGCGAGGACGGGGCUGAUACUGACCAACAAGGAGGGAGGAGAUUAGCUCCAGAGCUUUUUGCUGCUGUCUGCUAUUUUAGGGGGAAACUAAUGGAAACUGAAAAGGGAAACAAUGAGUGCAGAUCUCCAGUAAAAGCAGCCGAAGCGGAAACAGGGAGGAAAGUCGCUCUUUCAAUACCUCUCCAGGUGAAAAUGUAAGAUAAUGGUUGUCGUCGGAUUCGCCACUUUUCUUCUCUAUAAUUUAGCUGUAUUCAUUAUUAGCAUUAAGCUGAAGCAGGCCUGAUUUUUCCAUGAAAGUGCCCUUUUCUGUUGUCGCUGAUGUAUUAAGAAAUCUGGGCUUACAGAGAGUAACAAUCAGCCGGUUUCUGCGGUUAAAGCACGGUGACACCUUUUUACAUGGCAGCUGUGAAGAGGCCGCAGUCGUUCAGCUUUUCAUGCUCGCUGUGCUGGAAAAUGAUGAAGAAAUAAUGACUCAUGGAAAACUAUUUUAAUAGCAAUCAUUUUUUUGUUCUUAAAAGCCUCGCUUCAACAGUUACUCCAGAAUAGCCAUGGUUCCUCCUCUCUCUUUCUGUCCAAAAAGCACUUUCGGUGGUCAAUCAUUCUGAAGCUCUUCAGACAUUCACAGGUUACAAAGCUCUUAACAAAAGCCUGGACAGUAUUAGGAGUCCGAGAAACGCCAACAAGUCCCUGACUCGUUUUCUUUUCUUACCUCUAAGAGACACAAGAAGGAGACGCUACAGCUUUACUACCCAGUGGAUGGUAAUAUUUCUAUCACUAUAUUGUGCAGUUACAGCCUCUAAGACUGCUGAAUUUCUGCAGAUCACUGUAAGACAACUGCUGUGGAGUGUGGUUUCUGUGUUUUGAGGACACAAGUAAUCAAAUAUGGUGGAUUGGAGCAGGUAAACAUACGGGGAAAUGCCCAUGAGAGUCCAGACUACAAUGCACAAAUAGCACAAAUAAAUAGAGACACACAGAGGGGGUAAGUGAACAAGCAUGAUGCAGACUUCACCUGGUGUUUAAAACAGAAGCAGGAGAAGCAUAAAUGGAGAGAGUUUGCAUCACAGCCAAGUUUCCCGUUAACUUCUUUCAAUGCUGCUCAAUUAUAAUGCCUGAAACAACCAAGCUCUUUAACUCGCAGCGUCUCCUGCAAAGAUCUUCUCUUAAAUCACAACACUUACAGCUUCUCCUGCAAAGAUUUCCCCACAAACAGCUACAUUUCCCGUAAUCCUGCAAAUAUGCUCAAUUUUCAUGCCUGAAAGGACCAAGCUCUUUGACUCUCACCGCCUCCUGCAAAGAUUUCCCCUAAAACAGCUAUAUUUCUAGCUUCUUCUGCAAAUGUAUCUUAGGGCAACAUUUUCAGUUUCUCCUGCAAAGAUCUCUCAAAUAUCAGUAUUUCUAGCUUCUAGGUCUCCUGUCAGACAGCAAUAGUUACAGUUUCUUCUGUAGAUUUCUUAUUAAAUGGCCUUAAUUCCGUUUUUUUAGUAUUUUGUUUACCCUCCUUUGAUCAGUCUUGACUGGUUCAAUGAGGUGAUGGUGGAGAUUAUCUUACAGCUAUAAGCAGCUCUCACCUUCACAGUUAAAGCCAUAAAAUAUUCCUCAUUGGUGAGUCUUUUUUUUUUUCUUGACAACUGUUUUCAUACCACUCUUAUAUUACGGUUUAAACUGAACAUUUUAUCACCUGGCUCUACAGGGAUUGACUCACGACUGGAGCCAGCCUCAAGUGGACAGUUGAAGAACUGCAGUUUUUGGCACUCCUGCUCUGGCUUCAUCUCUCGGGACUGGAGAUUACCCCUUACUCUUUACAAGCGAGACUGCUGUUCAAUUUAUUUCCCCGAAGAACACCAUUAACCUCCAGUCCAAUCAGGGUGAAAAGGAGACCGUAAAUCCAAAUCACUGGUCCACUCUCCUGCCUCGGGUCUCUUGUCAUUUUCACCUCUGCCGGCCUCCCCUCAGCCCCUUCAUAUCGUCACCUCUGCUGCAGCUGAUUCUGCAGAACCGGGGAAUGAGAUAGAGUGUGAGGGCGGUCUUAAUGCUUGUGUGUAUCUAUGUGUGCAUGACUGUUAUCUAGAGUGUGUGUGUGUGUUCCAGCAGAUGCUACAAACUUAGAUGUCUGUAAUCAGUCAAUAUAUCCAUAAGAUUGAUACUCUGUCUUUGACAUUUAAAGGCUGCUGUCCUCUCUGAUGACUGAUAAUCCAUGAGGUAGUCAAUGACUCAUCCCAGGAUGGGUAAACCCUGCAUGAAUGGGUGACAUCUCUGUGCUCCCUCAGGGGUCCUGAUUCACACCACGUUCUGCUUUAGUUGACGUCACUCAGACAUUUUUACGGUGCACGGUUCAUGUGAGGAGUCCCUCUGGGGAAAUAUCUACUCUAGCAUAUGUUGGCCAAUGAGGAUCAGGUCAGCAGCGAGAGCCGGGAUGGUUAAGAGUGAUCUUUCUGUCAGUUUAAUGUGUAUUUUAAACAGUAGGCACUUAACUGCACGUAUCCCUCACAUUUAAUUUUAUUCCAUCCUGUAGAAGUGCUAAUUUCAACCAUUAAUUCAACUCACACUGUUCCCACAAUCCCUCCAUUUUCUCAUCUCCUCACACACCUUCCUGCUCUCGCCCCUGGUGGCGGAUGGAGAAGCGGUCGGGGGCUUUGCCUCAGUAAUUGAAGAAACCUUCAGAAACAUGCAGAUGAAGCCGGGUGAGCUGGAGAGGACUGAAAGUAGAAAAGGAAAAAGGGACCAGAUUCCCAAUUAUCCAUUCCUCCUCCUCCUCUUCUUCUUCUUCUUUUCGCUCUUUUUUUCGCUCUGGCAGGGUUAGCGUCGUUCAUUGGAGGCUCCUUCUUCGCCUCUUGCUGGACUCGGCAUAAUUAGGCGCAGUGUACGGGGCUGAACCGGGAUUGAUGAUCACAUAAAGGGCUGAGUGAGGAGCAGGUUCAGAGGGAAGCAGGGGCUUUGAUGAGAGGGUUAACGGCACUGUCAGCACUUUCACACUUAACACAUGUAACAAUGAAACACCCCGUCAGCUGACACACACACACACUCAAACAGGAGCUACUGUACAUCAAACCUUUAUCCACAGACCAAAACAAAACAUGUAACCUACAUUCAAUGUCAAAAUGUCGUCUUAGAUACGAGGAGAUCCUCCUCUAUGCCUCUUAUGUAACAGACUGCUGCAGGCCGAAGCUUUGAAAGAAACCGGAUUAUUGAAACUCAAAGAAUGAAAUGAAGAAAAUUAUCAUUACCAACAUUUUUUCCAUGACAACAACGAGAAGAUAACGAGCUAAAAUACAUAAAUGAUGACAAAAACUCACACAAAUAUAGUUUUUGUUUUCAUUUGUGAGAUAAUUAUGACAAGAAAACAUUGAAGGGGAACGCCUGGACAUUCAGAGUCCAUCAGAUAACAAAGAAGCAAUCACCUCUCAGUUUGAGUUUUGCCACUCUGCAGCCAGACCUCAAUUUACCCGAGAAAUACACUAAAGAGCCGACUCAGAGAUGUUUUGUUCGUUUAAUCAACACUGGAUGAUCGAAAUUGAAGAUGCAGCUGGGCCCAUUAAAAACACAAUAAAGCAUUUUUAUCAAAACCCAAAAACCAAUCAUCUUUGAGCUAAUCGAGUCAGCUGUUGGGUAGUACUGGUGCACACAAGUGUAUAAACUAUCUAAUAAAGUUAUCAAGCAGCAAACAGGUAUAAAAGCACAUAAAUGAGAAUUUUAGCGGUCAGAUGGUCAUGUUGCUAUUAAAUUUCACAACUCAGUACAUCAAACAAGACAAAAGCAGAACCUUGAAGCAUCUCUGUGACUCCAGCUGCUCCUCUCAGACUCAAAGCAGUCCAAACUUUAGAGCAAGGUCGGGUCGGUAAAACGAGAAUUAGGCAAAGGAAGAAAGUAUGUUGUCAAGUUGAAGUCAAAGUCAAAGGAAAUAGUAUGUUCAUGGUGGCCUCAUAUAUAAUGUUUACAGCAUUAACAGGGUGAUAAUUAGCAGAUUUAAACACUAAGACAACCCUGAUAUUAAUUAUGGCUGAUUAACUGAAUUAGUCUGAAGGCAGAAAAUAUUUUGACUCAAAUCAGUGACUAAAUCUAUAGAGGACAAUAAUGACAUUUAAGACGACGAUCGAAUCUGCAAAAACAGAUGUCUCACAGUUUCAACAGCUGGUUUCAUGUGGCAUAACUAACAUAUAUUUGCAUUAAGUUAGCAUGUUUGUCCACUCCCACAUAUUUCCCACCGCCACAGUAGAUCUUCUUCAGGUAAACACACAUGUUUUUUUCAGGCAUUUUGACCAAUUACUAACAGUGUCUCUUCUUCCUCGACACCUCGCCUCAAUCUGCAUAUUGUUUUUCUAACCCCAGAACCUGAACCAUCUCCAACAACAGGGGCGGGCGGGUGUCGCUAUAGGAUUUGAGGCUGACCUUCUCAUGCAUGAAAAUCUGACAAAUGCAUGGUGCAAAUUAGGCCGCCGGUCCAGGUCUAUCUCUGUGCAGUCUCGAGGUCAGGAACAUCAAAUGUGUUUUUGAAUUUAGAGACUCAAAGAUAAUCAAAAGCCAGCAAAGUUCAGAGCGUCUCAGAAACGUGGGGGAGAAAAUGCAGCCCCAAAUAGCAAAUAGACAUCUGAAAUGAUAUUACUCCUCUGCCAUGAAAGAGAGCCAAUUUCAAUGAGGUGACAUUCAUUUCCUUUCAGGUGCUGAGAGGAGGAUGAGAUAGGCUGUCUGAUUUUUAAUAUAUCUAACUGUGUCAGAGCCCCUGGUGGCACACAGCACAGGCAAAUAUAGGGAGGAUACACUGGAGCAGAGUGGAUUUCUCAAAGCGCUGUGCAGAAAUGGUUGCUAUUGGAAUGACAACUAUUUUGUUUCUGUAAAAUGUGGAUAAAUAUCAAAACGCAGGGAUGAUAUUGGUUAGCAUGACCGGAGACUUUCAUAAGACGUGUGUUCAGUCCGUCUCAGCUGAUAUGUGCCGUCACGGGCGCUGCUUCAGCUCCAGACACCUGGAGAAAUCUCAUUUCGAUUUCUGCAGGAGCACCAGAUUCUAUUUUGCAUCUACAGUGAACAUGAAAACAACACAGAGAUGUAAAUCCACUGAUUCUGUUAUUACCGGGGGAAAUCUUUGUUCUCACGACUCCAUUGCUGCUCUUAAAAAAAGCAGCAAGAGCCAAAAAUCAGCAAAGACGUCAUACACUUGAAACAAGCGGUGAGUUAAUGGUGAGUGUUUUGUUGCUUGUGCGCUGCUCACUGUGGUGAAGAUUGUCUUUGCCUUUAAACCAGUGCUUCGAUUUGGAGUAUUAGCUUUGCUAGUUAGUUUCAGCAGCGCGAUAUAACCAGUAUGAUAACUUCGGUAAAUAUAACUUUAUGCAAAUCACGAGCCAUACUCGGUUGAAAACACACACUCAUCGUUAUCAAUACUUCCUUGUGAACGCACAACAAUCGACUUAAAGAUCAACUUUGUAUUUGAUUGUGGCAUUUCGCGGUAAUCUCCACCAUCGCAACAAGCUUCAGGACCCCAAAACUGCCCGUAUGUGUGCCUAAACAAAAAUCGGUUGAAUCCCAAGGACUCUGUCUGCCCAAAAAGGUGCCUGCACAAUACCCACUUAAAGUAGUUUCAACACAGACAGAAAAAAACAUCGAAAAUUUAUAACAAUCAGAUUAAUUUUUGUUAAACAGUCCCUCUCUACUUGACGCUGAAGUUCCUUUAGUCGAAACGUGCAGCAGCAGAAAACUGGCGAAUACAAGAGACUCUGAAGUUUUACGUUAACUAAACUGUGAACAAAUAACCUUUUAUGGUUUUACAGACUGUUUCAGAGUAGAUAACGCCUAACUGUGAGAUGAUAUCAAUGAGCUUUAAUCCAGACCGUCCUUUUUCAAAAUGACAUUUUCAUGUUUUCAAACUUCAAAGAAAUGCCGUUUCUCCACAGAUGUACCGAGUCUAUUUACUGCCCUGUUUAUCCUCAUAAUGUCUUUUUCGCUCGCUUUUAUGCUACAGAUUUGUUGACAGACGCAUUUUGGUUUAUUUUCCUCCAGGCAAUUUCAUCUUUAACAAACACCUCUUUGCAGGAGCUAAUUCCCGCUGAAAUGAUGAGAGCAAAAGCUCGCUGGAGCAUUCUUCCCACGGCUAAGCCACCUACCGCAGCUAAAGGAGGCUCAGCGCUGCCCAUCAUGCAGGGCGCCGGGCUGCUCUUAUCGUCCCUCCACGAGGCCGGAGAAGGGUAAUAGGAUUGCUGCUCGCAGAGAAAGUGCCGUGCUCACCAAGCAGUGGGUGGGGGGGCCGAGGCAAAAGUGUGAAGGGCCUCUGCUGCUGUCCAGCAUCAUGCAAGCAGAGAGGAGCAGGCACGGAGGAUGUGUUCUCCUCGCUCCAUAAAUAACCCUGCUAAAUUGCAGGCUUUGGAGGGUCAGUGGGACAGUGGACUGCUGGUGUAUAUCUGGAGGCCUGGAUAUAACCUGUAAUCCUGCAGCCCAGGAAACACACAGCACAGCACUUAUAGCAAAAUGUCUUUCCUGCAAAAAGGAAGCCGGGGUCUUUACGAGCAUGGGGGGAGAGAGAGAGAGAGAGAGAGAGCCGGGGAGAGGGGCCAGUGAGAGAGAGUGGAGUCAGGAGUGAUUAUAUGGUGUGUAGUCAGUGUCUGAGGCGUUGACUCCUUCUUUCCUUCCUUGCUUGCUUCCUACCUUCCUUCCUUGGCUGGCUGUGUCCCAGCAGCAGCACAGCAUCCACUUUGUACUCAGAUGAGAGAGAUGAAAGCAGCUAUGGAGGAGGGAGCGGCGGAGGAGGGGCGGGGGGCUCUUUUUUUAUAGACCACCAUAUCACUUUAGAUUCGGGUGCUGGCUGAGUGCAACUGUCACCAUUCAGAGAGAACCAUCAGGAUGAAACAAGCAUGCAAAGGUUUCAAACAACCUCUGAAGACCUCAGAAAUUUGGCUUGAAUUUUUGAAGAGGAGCGUCUGAAAAUUGAAGUUAAAAACUGAAACAAAAACAGCGUCUCUCUGCAGACGGAGAGGGUGAGCUGCAGGGUCAUGUUUGACGGACGUCUUCUUGGCUUUAACGCAACAACAGUGCACAUAAAAACCUGCGUCAUGAGACCCUAAAGAGAGUCACAGUUUAAGAAAGGAUGUGUGUCAAAGAAUUAAAGGAACAGUGCGUAGAUAUUAGAAAAUUUAACAGACCUUUUUCUUGUGAUACGUUUACAUAUCAUUUUUCUGUGAUACUGGGGUUUUCUUAAUGAUUCAAUAAUUAUUACGACAGCAUCAAUGUGUGUGUUCAAGAGAGCCGCCGUCAAGACUAAAACUAAAUCUAAAAUGCCUGCCAAAAACAACACUGCGCCACACUCGAGGUGUACACUUGGACCAAACUGGAGCAGGUUUUAGUCUGGAGCGAGAACAGUCCGACGUAAAUUCAUCUAAAUCCGAAAAUCAUAUCUGGAGGACUUCUGAGGUCCAGACUAAGACCAUCAGAAAAUGGACUCAAGAUACUUUUCAGACAUGACUGAUGCUGCAUUUUGAAUUUCUGAUGUCAGUUUAUUACGUGAUAUAAACUAAAUUACCCCCCUCCUACACGAUGAAGCAUGAAGGAACAUCAAACGCAGUGUAAUCAGAAUUAAAACUAACAACACCAGGAGGGAAAACCAGACUACUUUAAUCUAGACUCAGACCACCACAUAUUGAAUAUUCCCAUUUCUACACACCCUACCUUGACAAUCUGAAAACGUCAACUUCCAGCUGCAUGUUGGUUUCAGACUGAGCUCCUGUUUAUUCUCAGAGCUCUGAAUGUGAUUGAACGUUAUAGCCCUGCAUUGCAUUUGGUGCCUGAUGUUAUGAAGCUGCAGGGAAAAGAAAUCAUCACAGAUCCAAACUAAACUAAACUCCUGAAGCUGUAUUUAAGCAGAUCUCUAACAGUCUCUCUAUUCUGUCAGACUUUAUAAUACGGAGCUGGAACUUUCUGGUGGAUUUUAGUUUUUCCAGCGUUUAACAUUUGUUCUGUUUCUCCAAGUUUAUCUGAAAAUCAGAUUUCCGUGGCACCAGAGUUAAACGCCUUUCCCGUCCUCCCCUUCCACAGUGUGUUUGCUGCUGCAGGGAGAACCGCUCCACCUGUGGGCUGUUAGCUUAAGUAAGGUGAGUGGGUGUGUUUUCCGGUUAUAUCAGCGCUGGGUGCUCAUGGGAAGGGCAGUAAAAGGCACUGCAGGUGGUGGAGGGGCUGAAAUGGCCACGCUGGUUGUUUUGAUAGAAUAAAACUGGCCUGAGGCGGCGAGCGGCGGAUGGAUGGCUGUGGUGUAGAUUUAGUGUUAUUAUUGAGAGAGGCAGAAAUGGUGUUACACUCCAACAUGCGCACAGGCGUGGGAUUGAUAUCUGUAACCUAUUGGUGAGAUAGCAGCUCUGCCCUGCAGGACUGAUUGCUUUAUUUGGAGGACCAUAAAGCUACGACAGGUUAAGACAACAUGGAGCACAGUGAGCGAUGUGGAGAUUACACUGAGAUUAAAGGUGCAACACGCUGAAUUUUUAAUGCAAUCAGUGCACAGAAGUCAUAUUCGUUCACCUUUCUGUACAAAACACACGUGUGAAGAUCGGCAGUUUGCUAUAAAUAAAAAAAAUUAAUAAAAAACAUCCUCUAAUCUGCUGUUGCUCCAUGAGCCUUUGUACUUCCUGAUCUAGUUUAAUUAACGGUAUUGUUCACAGCUCUCACUCACAUCAGGACAGAGUCAUUCAUGAUUCACACACUGGAUUAAAGCAACACUCUGUUUUUCCUGGACAGCCAUGAAAAAACAUCUGUCUGUCCGGAGAGGCCGUGUGGGUGAGCGGCUCUGCAGAGCUGCAGGAACAGCAGGAGAAACUACACCUUCACCUUCUGGAGGAGUUAUGUUUGAGAGGAUCUUAGGUCCAAAACACCGACCACUAAAGGACCACUGUUUAUCGUAAUUACAGUACUAUGAUAUAUCUAUGUGAUUAUAUUAUAACAAGUCUAUAAUAGGAUAUUAUCACAAUUACAACUUUGUUAUUUAUCAUGAUAUCAAAUCCACGCUGUGAUAUCUGUAACUAUAUGAAAGUUUGGGUGCAACGACUACGAUCGCUUUGACGAUUUUUCCGCCAAAUGUUAUACUUCACACAUUCAGCCAUCUUUACAAGCAGCGAACCACCAACAUGUUUCUUCAUGUGGGUUAAUAUCAGAUGGCUGGAAAUAAAAUCUCAUUUGUGGACUUUAUCAGAUGCCUGUUUUAGAAAAUGACGAAGACUUUAAAUUUACAGACUUCGCCUUAUCAGUGUAAGAAAUAUAAAAGACAGCUCAUUGAAAAUUACAUAGUCAGCAGCUGUUCGCACACUUCUAUUGUUACAAACACUCCAUCAUCUGUAAUCUCCUUUUCCCUUUAAUUAAAGUCCUCCUGCUCUGCAAAUUAAGAUUUCAGCAGCGAUUACAUCUGUAACACGUGUCACAUCUAAAUGAUGAGAUUCUUCUUCUCACUCAUCGUUUUAUCGCCAAAACCAAACUGAAAUCAAUCCGACAUGCAUGAAAUUAUGAAGCACUAUUGACGAAACAAGAUUAUCAGCCAGUGUCACGUGUGUCACCGAGGACACGACUUCUGUUUCCCUGCCUUGGCUGUAUUUUAAUUUAUUUCCUGACAGACUCCAGAUAAGGUGACGAGUGGCGGGAGAGGGCCAUCAGGAGGAGACGUGGUCUUUCUCCUCGCCGUCUCGUGGUGGAUAUCGGAGCUCCUGAUCGGGCUGAGAGCACGGCUGCCACACUCAGAGGGUCAACAGCCCUCAGUCCACAACAAAAGAGGUUUUUGUUCUGUGACUCACACCGAAUCACUGCACAUAAAGUUGAUGCUCGGCUCUACAAACGCCCUAAUGAGAAAAAGAAGCUCUCGGUUAAAAUGAAUACAACACAAAGAGCGUGCAGGAAGAGAAAGGCACCACAUAUAUGACAAAAACCUGCAGAUGCUUAUCAAAAAACAAUGGUGGGAGAGGUAAUAAUAAAAGAUACACCCCUGUGUCUCAGUGAUGCAGAUCCAGAUAAAGCCUGAGCCCUCGCAGUGAUUCACUCUUAUCUGCUAACACACAUGUAGCUGCAUGACAGGACCUCCGAGUCAGCGCAGGCGGACAAAGACGCUUUUUCAGUGGACUAAAUGGUCCCAUAUCCAGAGUGAUACGAGUUUAAUGAUCCGUCAGAAAUCUACAAUGUUUGAAACACCGGAUUAAAGUUCUUGAAGCACGAAAACCUGCUAAUCAUUUUGUCAUAAAUCUAUUCAAUAACAGUUUCUUACACGUUCCUCAGGUUCAGCACAUUCACAGUCAUACCUCAGUUAAAAAAGCCUCUUGCUAACUCAUUUGUUGAUUGUUUUGGUGAGCUCUGCAGAUAACAUCCAAACCUUUACAAAUUACAAAGGUAUCGCCAUCUUGCAAGGAUGCAUAUUUAUGUGUUUUAUUCCAGAAAUCCACCUGAAACUGUUUCUCGUCCUGCUCCAAACAUGUCAGCGCGUUCGUGCAGCGUUUCUCAGAUGUAAAAAUAAUAAAUAAGCUGUCAGGAAGUUUCCUCUCUCACACCCUGUUUUUGAAUAUUUGCAUAAAGUCAGGUGUAAAUGUUUUUCUGGAGGAAAUUUCCAUUUGUUAACGCUCUGUUUGGCAUCUCAGUGCUUGAUGGUCACUUGACAACCUCUGGUAUUUUUUGCCAUCAAAGCGCUCCUCUGUCUUUUUUCCUCCCUAUUAUUAUGUAUGGAUAAAUUCUCUCUUCAUUUACGUCUGCAGACUUGUCACAUAAAAGGCCGUUAUCUCUUCUUCCUCUAAAGUUUCUGUCGGCUAACGUCUGAAAGAUGCACCCGUCUGAUCCGCGGGGUUACAGUGAGAUUUUGAUUAUCUUUGCAGAGUCGGAUAUCUCCUUUUAAAGUCAUCUUGUAUUCACUCUCCUCCUCCUCCUUCUCCUCUUCCUCCUUAAGCUCGGCUUGUCGUGUUCGUCCUUCUGUUCCUCGUUUCUGUCUUAUGUGCGUGAAGUAGACAUACUGUACUGUGUCGCUGGCUGAGCUUAUGCUUCAAGACACACAAUCCUGUUAGGAGUUGGCACGGUUCGGUCCAUUUGAUGCCAGUCAAAAUAUUACAGUCUGUUCACUGAAAUAAAGAGCAAUGGGCAUAAUGUGGACCAUAAUGAGGCUUGUUUAUGUCUACUGGGUCUGGUCGGUCUUGGAGAAACGCCACCGUUUUUAAGCACCGAAAUCUGUUACCCUUGUUUUACAGCCUGUGUGUGUUCACGUGUGUGUGUGUGUGUGUGUUCACGGUUGCUGCAGUCUGAACUCCAGCAGUAAGACGCGGAUGCUAUGGUGACAAAGUGAUGGGUUCUGUUAAUAUAAGCCAACAGUCUGAUCAGGAUUCAGCAGGUGUUCUGCAUGGAAGAGACUGACGUCUGCUUGGGACCAUCCAUCAGGGCUAAAUGGCAGAUGGUCCUCUCUGUGGCCAGGCAGGAAGUGCACUAACACAAUCGCUGCGGCAACACGGGGAGCACUCUACCUGCUGAUAAUCCACUUACACACAGACAAAGCUGCUUUAAUCUGCCCGCUCGUCUCCCUGCACACCCCCUCGCCCCACGACAAGGCCGAGGCUCCAUGCUGCAGAAUCACCAUUGAUCCACUGCACACAUGUACACAAGCCGAGCACUGACAGGCCGUGUUCAUAAUGAAUCCCUAAUCACUCUCACAAGUGACAGGAGGAUCCUGCACAAUGAAUACUAAGUCUUCAAAGCACUCCGAAAACGUAAACUUGUGUUUUCCUGCUGUUGAAUUCAUACUUUCUCUUUCCCUGAUAUGAUUUUCCAUCUGCUGAGUUUGAAAAAAAUCCACAAUAAUAAAAAUAAGAGUUCCAUGUCUCUCUUAAAUGUGAAAAGAAGACGACUGAUAGUGAAUACAAAUACUUACAAGCAAUCAGAAAAUUGCAACCUGAGUUUUCUUCGUCCUUAAUUACAUUUUUUCUCCUGUCUCUGCAGAUUAGAUAAGAAUUACAUUAAAAGGGCUUCAGUCUGAAGUCCUACGCCGCUCGAAUAAUACAAGCUCACAUUCAAGUAUGUCCCGGCAUAAAGAAAAUACUGGUUCAAUAGUAAUCUGGUCCCUUAUACCAGCUCUAUUGUGGGGGCAUCACUGUAAUAGUGUGGUCAUGAGUGCAGCCUUUGUGAUAAAGCAGAUGUAAGGAUGAGGUAUUUUACAAUCUUUGAUGUUUUAAAGGAAAAAAACUCACCCAAACAUAAAAGACUAUUUCCUGCAAAAUACAUCAGAAAGAAGUGGUAUCCUUCAUAUUUGGGCCUUAGGAGUCAAUCCUGUGGUAAACAUCAUUUUAUAUUUGAGGUUAGUAUCAUGCAGAAUCACUGUCAAAUCCACUCACUCUGUGAGACCGGUGGCUCUCAGGUUUUUGUGAAGUCAGGCUUUUCUAUCUCACUAAGAUAUAAACGUAUUUUUUAGAGAGUGUCUGGAAAAUUAAAGGUUAUUAUUGACGUUUUUUGCAGUCACUCAAAAAAAAUAUUUUUUUAAACUUAUUAAACUUCUUUGUUGAUUUAAAAAAACAGAGCGCAUCUCCAAAUGUUUUGGGUCAGACUUAAUGUCAAAAAUGUGGCCUCAUUUUAAACUUCUUUUUUAACUCAGUGCUGUUUACGCACGGCAACAGCAGAUGAGGCUUCUAAAAUACUUGCCAAUCAUAUAAAGAAGAAAACAGAAUGAUGUUGGGCAGCUAAUCUACUGCAAGUGUGUUUUCGUAUUUUACCCUGAAGAUGGCGCUGCAAACAAUCAAGUCAGUGCAGAACGCAUGAUGUAUCCAACAGUAAGAAUAACCAUAUUUUAAACACUUUUCUCUUGUUUGGCAUGUCAUCAUUAAAAAAGUCCUUUCAGUGUAUGAUUUCAAGGUCCUUUAAAAGCCAAUCCUGAAAUGUGUGAAUUUAUUAUUCUCACACCACAAACGUGCACAAAACACUUAAACACAAAAUACUCCCAAUGGAGGGACAAUCAGUUUAAUGUAUGUGCAGAUAUUUGCAUUAUCUCCACUAUCUGAUCAGAAUAAGAUUCAUAUCACCUGCAGCUUCAUGGACAAUGUCCAAUUCCUCCUUCAUGUAUAUGCACAUUUUAAAAAAAGGAUUAAAUACCGCUCUUCUAUAAGCUGCUAAAUUUAUCCGCUCUUUAAUGAGGACACAUCCACAUUUGGGUUUUGGAUGCUUGUUAGAAAAGCUGGACUUGGAGCUGGAUUUGAAGGUGCAUCAGGCCAGGACCUGUGAGUCCCAGAGGGAGUCAUUAGAAAAGAAAAUGAAGUUUGAUUGAGAUCCUUUGCCAGGUUGUUCGCUCUGAUUGGGCUUCAUUAGACAACACGGGCGGAUGGCGGCCGAGCAGAGGGAAGUUUUGUUAGUCAUUCUGGCAUCUGAGAGGUCCGCUGUGCUGAAACUUUGCCCACAUCAAAACAGAUUUAUAGCAGGUUUCACCGUUUCACUAUCCUGGGGUGCAGAGCUGCUCUUCUUUAUGAGCUCAUCUGUUUAACAGUUUGAAUAAAGAGUUGUCCUCUUUUCUCGAGGCGAGAGCGCUGGAGCUCUACAGGGAGGAGAUGUCAGAGCGGAAGAAGAGGGAGAGAAGGAAUGAACAAUUAGUGUGGAGAGGUGGAACAGCUCCACAGCGAGGAGGAGGAGGAGGAGGAGGAGGAGGAGGCAGAGGC
RNAcentral lists this long non-coding RNA (14351 nucleotides) under Xyrichtys novacula (pearly razorfish). Lineage: Eukaryota; Metazoa; Chordata; Actinopteri; Labriformes; Labridae. The record is from RNAcentral.